UUGAUUGAUUGUUGGUAGCUUCCCACAGAGUCGUGGACCUCGGGGAUACAGCUGAGGCUAGGAGAAGCAUGAUAACAAAGAUCACCUGCCAAACAAGGAAGCACUUCUUUGAAGUCAUUUUCCCUUAAUAAGUUGUGUAAUACUCUUCAAGUUCAAACGUUUUUGUCUAUUUAUAGAGGCCCGUGCAACCAUGAAACUUCUUAACCACCCCGUAAGUAAUGUCAUUUGAUAAAAAAAAGGUGGAAAAUCUCAAGUAAUUUUUUUUAUUUUUAAACUAGCAAUGGGUGUAUUGAAUUGACCACUAAACCCAGCUUUCAUAAUACUCGCUUAUUUCCUUUGACGUUAAAAUUUUAAUUAAAAGAAAUAGUUUGUUUGCUGAGAUAAGUUUUUUAUUUUAAGGAUACACCCCCUGCACUUCAGCCUCGGCAGCAGUAGUAUUAUUAGCCAUGAUGAUGAAACAAGUUAAUACUACACAGAGGAAAGCAACGAAAACAAAAAAGCAGAAAUCUGCCAAGCAACAAACGUAACUUAUCAAAAGGACCAGACAAGACCAAGCAUGCCAAGACAGCACGACAAUACUGCUAACAAUAAGAUAAUCAAAAUACCUAAAUUGUAAACAUGGGGCAAAUACUUUUUCUUUAGUAAUGGAGUUGAAGAGUCGAGGUGGACAUGCGGUUUUGUGAUGAUACUGUUUUGCCAUUUUUUUCAAAUUUUAGUGAAGGAAUUUAGAGAAGGUGAUUUUAUCCAAAA
This 750-nucleotide long non-coding RNA is filed under the name Citrus x clementina. Its description in RNAcentral is "Citrus clementina (C. clementina) long non-coding RNA (CCLE_LNC000557)". Lineage: Eukaryota; Viridiplantae; Streptophyta; Magnoliopsida; Sapindales; Rutaceae. The record is from RNAcentral.